GAGACACCUUUAUGGGGCAAGACUUGUUUCAAUGUGGCUUUGGUGCUCACUGAUUCUGCCCGCUGAGUGUGUCCCU
Non-coding RNA from Myotis lucifugus (little brown bat), 76 nucleotides. The record is from Rfam. Lineage: Eukaryota; Metazoa; Chordata; Mammalia; Chiroptera; Vespertilionidae.